Long non-coding RNA from Neopsephotus bourkii (Bourke's parrot), 180 nucleotides. RefSeq lists it as uncharacterized. The transcript is spliced from 2 exons. Lineage: Eukaryota; Metazoa; Chordata; Aves; Psittaciformes; Psittacidae. The record is from RefSeq and is a predicted model, not a curated record.
CGGGCGGGCGCGGGCUGCCCGGUGGAGCUCGGUGCGGCUCCGUACACACGGUUCUCUCCUGAUGCAUGGGAAUCCCAGCCCGUGCCAGAGAUAGGGGCUGAACUUUAGUCUCUGAGCAAUUAAGGUGCCUGAAACUGCACUUCAUUAAUGGUUGUUAUGCAAUAAAACCGAUAAAACUGC